AAAACUUUCAACAACGGAUCUCUUGGUUCUGGCAUCGAUGAAGAACGCAGCGAAAUGCGAUAAGUAAUGUGAAUUGCAGAAUUCAGUGAAUCAUCGAAUCUUUGAACGCACAUUGCGCCCGGCAGUAAUCUGCCGGGCAUGCCUGUCCGAGCGUCAUU
This 158-nucleotide ribosomal RNA is filed under the name Pseudallescheria sp. RNAcentral describes it as "5.8S ribosomal RNA". It matches the Rfam family "5.8S ribosomal RNA". From Rfam's summary of the family: 5.8S ribosomal RNA (5.8S rRNA) is a component of the large subunit of the eukaryotic ribosome. It is transcribed by RNA polymerase I as part of the 45S precursor that also contains 18S and 28S rRNA. Functionally, it is thought that 5.8S rRNA may be involved in ribosome translocation. The record is from RNAcentral. Lineage: Eukaryota; Fungi; Ascomycota; Sordariomycetes; Microascales; Microascaceae.